Molecule: ribosomal RNA, 460 nt
Filed under: uncultured bacterium
Lineage: Bacteria
Description: partial 16S ribosomal RNA
Rfam family: Bacterial small subunit ribosomal RNA
Source: RNAcentral
CCUACGGGAGGCAGCAGUGAGGAAUAUUGGUCAAUGGGCGCGAGCCUGAACCAGCCAAGAAGCGUGAAGGAUGACUGCCCUACGGGUUGUAAACUUCUUUUAUAAAGGAAUAAAGUGAGGCACGUGUGCCUUUUUGUAUGUACUUUAUGAAUAAGGAUCGGCUAAAUCCGUGCCAGCAGCCGCGGUAAUACGGAGGAUGCGAGCGUUAUCCGGAUUUAUUGGGGUUAAAGGGUGCGUGGGCGGACUGGUAAGUCAGGUGUAAAAGGCCGGGGCAUAAACCGGGCGAGGCAGUUGAAAUGGGCUGUCUUGAGAUGUCGAGAGGUAUGCGGAAUGCGCAGUGUAGCGGUGAAAUGCUUAGAUAUUGCGAAGAACUCCGAUUGCGAAGGCAGCAUACCGGCGGCGAUCUGACGCUGAGGCACGAAAGCGUGGGUAUCGAACAGGAUUAGAUACCCGAGUAGUC